CAGAAGCAGAAGCAGAAGCAACCCUAGCUUUCCUGCAAGUUCAACAUUCAUCAGCUUCUGCAAUUCUGCAUCACUUCAAUCUCAAUUUCAAUUCUGCAUCACUUUAACUUCAAUUUCAAUUUCAAUUCUGCAAUUCUGCAUCACUUCAACCUCAAUUUCAAUUCUGCAUCCGUAAAGAUGGAUGACUCAACAACGACGACAACUCCUCACCACCGGACUCAGCCCAAGUCCGCCUCGAGGCUCUCCAAGCUCCGCCAUUACAGCCAGGAGGAGGGGGGAUCGGGAACCCCCACAACCCCCCAGCUGUCUCUCGAAAUAGUCCAGUCGUCUUCCCCAAAAAUCUCUACUCCAUCCCCUGCAUCCACUGUUUCGCCCAAGCCCCCUUACUCUCUCCCUCUCCAAGACCUCUUACUCCUCUCCCCUUCCCCUUCCCCUUCACCACUCAAAAGGUCAUCCAAAUCCCGCCUCCUCGACAUGGCGGAGGACGCCGCCAUUGAGACCGCCGGAGUUAGAAAACGAUGCAAGACAAGGAAUUCAGCAUCCGGCUGUGCUGCUGCUGCAUCCCCAAGAGGAGGUCGAAGAUCAAGGAGAAGAUUGGAGCAAGAUGCCAGAGAAGAGAGAGAGCUUGCUGCUGCAGGGGGAGAUGUUUCGAUUAAGCCGAGGAAGAAGAAAACUAGCGAAAGGUCGAGGACUGGUAAAUCCAUUCAGACUCAUCCAGUUCCAUCGCCAAGUGGUGGAGAUGGGUACAAUCUCAACGCCACCGGGGAGGCCAUACACGAUUUGAUCAUGUGGAAAGAUGUCUCGAAAUCCAGCCUAUGGUUUGGGUUGGGAUCGCUUUCGAUCAUGUCAUCUUGCUUCGUAAAGGGAGUUCAUUACAGCAUGUUCUCAUUCAUGUCUCAAGUGGGACUUCUGUUCUUGGGGUUGUCGUUCUUCUCCAAUACAAUGCGACAAAGGGAGGGAAAGAGCAAUAGUAAGGCCGAUCAGUUUAAGCUGAAGGAAGAAGAUAUACUGAGAUUCGGCAGGUUAAUACUUCCGGCUGCGAAUCUAGCAAUCUCGAAAACAAGAGAAAUCUUCUCAGGAGAGCCAGCCAUGACCCUUAAAGUGAUUCCGAUCUUUCUUUUGGGAGCCGAGUAUGGCCAUUGCAUUACAUUGUGGAGACUCUGUGCACUUGGUUUCUUUAUCAGCUUCACUGCCCCAAAAUUGUAUUCGACUUACUCUUCGCAACUAGAUAAGAAAGUCGAGUAUCUAAAACAAUGGGCUAUGGAUAUUUGGGAAGGCUGCACGCAUAAGAAAAUCGUAGCUGCAUCAGCUGUAAUGGCGUUUUGGAAUCUCACGUCCAUCAGAACGCGAAUAUUUGCAGCAUUCUUGUCCCUUGUGAUAGUUAGAUAUCGCAGGCAGCACCUUGUUGCGACGGAGGAAGAUAACAACGAUAAUGCAGGAGAAUCGAAACUAGAGGUGGACGAGGAGGAAAGGGCAUUAGUUGCAGUAGAGACUGAAUCCAAGAAAUAACAAGUAGAAUUGAUUAUUGAUUACAUGACGUCGUGUUGUCGUCUCUAUCGCCCGUAAACUUGUCUGUUUGUUUGUAUUGCUGUAUCUCUUGUGUCAAUCACAUUUAUUUUCUAAAAGUGAGGUUAGAGAUGAAAGAUAUGAAAUGAAGGCGGCAGAAGCAGAACACGUGCCGUAUCUGCGCAGAAUGUUAAUGUUGUUCCUUUCGUGCCGUAUGUAAACAAAGGGUGAAAGCUAAUCUAGUUGUUGAAAAGUUGA
This is an RNA transcript of Andrographis paniculata, 1764 nucleotides long. It is a transcript of the gene named reticulon-like protein B17, with no coding region annotated. NCBI's taxonomy places the organism in Eukaryota, Viridiplantae, Streptophyta, Magnoliopsida, Lamiales, Acanthaceae. The record is from RefSeq and is a predicted model, not a curated record. The transcript has 9 exons.